AAGUCGUAACAAGGUCUCCGUUGGUGAACCAGCGGAGGGAUCAUUACCGAGUUUACAACUCCCAAACCCCUGUGAACAUACCUUUAUGUUGCCUCGGCGGAUCAGCCCGUUCCUCGGAACGGCCCGCCGCAGGACCCUAAACUCUGUUUUUAGUGGAACUUCUGAGUAAAAAAACAAAUAAAUCAAAACUUUCAACAACGGAUCUCUUGGUUCUG
This 215-nucleotide unclassified non-coding RNA is filed under the name air metagenome. RNAcentral's name for it is "partial contains small subunit ribosomal RNA, internal transcribed spacer 1, and 5.8S ribosomal RNA". The stretch from base 1 to 46 matches the Rfam family "Eukaryotic small subunit ribosomal RNA", at positions 1786 to 1831 of the family's 1831-position model. The record is from RNAcentral.